UCUGAUGUACAUACCUACAACAUAGUGUUAAUGCACUGGAUCCCAUUAGAACUUCACAGUUAAGCGUGCUUAGGCUAGAGGAGUACUAGGAUGGGUGAUCGCCUGGGAAGUCAUGCAUCAUGGGAA
This is a non-coding RNA of Picea glauca (white spruce), 126 nucleotides long. The record is from Rfam. Lineage: Eukaryota; Viridiplantae; Streptophyta; Pinopsida; Pinales; Pinaceae.